GAUAGUGAAAGCAGUUGGCUGGCAGCCAUUACACAGACCUGCGCUGAAUUCUGGGAGUUGUAGUCUCUGUACAGCAAACAAGGAAAAAGUAUUUAGGAGACAUCAGGGGCCAAAGGAGCUGCCAAAAUCAAAUGAAUAACUACAGGGGACACAGAACAGCAUCCCCUGAGGCAUCAGACCACCGGUGAAACUCCUCUUUGGCUGAAUGGAGCCAGUCCGAGAAUUCGUGAACAGCGUCCAGAGCAACUUGUGUCUUGAAGCAGAGCUGGUUUGUGGCUUCAUACUUUUUCACCAGAGCGGUCACAGCUUCCCCAAUGACCUCAAGUUCUGUAGACCUAAACUGUCGACAGAGUGUGUUGAGGUUUUCUUGUGUGGU
This is a long non-coding RNA of Hyla sarda, 376 nucleotides long. RefSeq lists it as uncharacterized. The transcript has 3 exons. The record is from RefSeq and is a predicted model, not a curated record. Lineage: Eukaryota; Metazoa; Chordata; Amphibia; Anura; Hylidae.